GGAGGCAGCCGCAACUGGCGCAUAGGUGGUCACCACCGGGGAGCGGCGCUCUGUCACGGUCGCGCGCCUGGGCCGAACCU
RNAcentral lists this non-coding RNA (80 nucleotides) under Agrococcus casei. RNAcentral describes it as "ZTP sequence". It matches the Rfam family "ZMP/ZTP riboswitch aptamer (pfl RNA motif)". Rfam says of the family: Previously known as pfl RNA. The record is from RNAcentral. Lineage: Bacteria; Bacillati; Actinomycetota; Actinomycetes; Micrococcales; Microbacteriaceae. RNAcentral also lists the same sequence under 1 other name.